UUUCUACAAUCAACACAAUAGAAUCAUACUUACUACUAAGAUAACAAAGAAUUUAAUUAAAAGAAACCUCAAGGUGAAACAACCCUUUAUCUCCCUCCUUCUUCUUCCUUCCUCCACACUUUAUUCUUCCUCCACAAGCUUUAAAACCCUUAGAUCACUCAAAUAUUUAGUGUAGCUCACCAUAAACCUUCUUAAUUAUCUUAACUCUCCAUAAUCAUGCAUUAUUUUCAAGAAUUGAUGAGAGAAUUG
RNAcentral lists this long non-coding RNA (249 nucleotides) under Populus trichocarpa (black cottonwood). Its description in RNAcentral is "long non-coding RNA (PTRI_LNC003366)". Lineage: Eukaryota; Viridiplantae; Streptophyta; Magnoliopsida; Malpighiales; Salicaceae. The record is from RNAcentral.